This 327-nucleotide ribosomal RNA is filed under the name uncultured eukaryote. RNAcentral's name for it is "partial 18S ribosomal RNA". It matches the Rfam family "Eukaryotic small subunit ribosomal RNA", at positions 1470 to 1796 of the family's 1831-position model. The record is from RNAcentral.
CCCUUAGAUGUUCUGGGCCGCACGCGCGCUACACUGAUUCAUGCAACAAGUUUUGUCCUUGGCUGAUAGGCCUGGGUAAUCUUUGAACGUGAAUCGUGAUGGGGAUAGAUGAUUGCAAUUAUUCAUCUUCAACGAGGAAUUCCUAGUAAACGCAAGUCAUCAGCUUGCAUUGAUUACGUCCCUGCCCUUUGUACACACCGCCCGUCGCGCCUACCGAUUGAAUGGUCCGGUGAAAUCUUCGGAUCUGAGAGAUGUCUGAUUAAUUUCGGACGCCUUUUGGAAAAGUUGCUUAAACCUUACCAUUUAGAGGAAGGUGAAGUCGUAACA